AAGAACCCCGGGAGGGGAGUGAAAUAGAACAUGAAACCUUAAGCUUACAAGCAGUAGGAGGACGACUUAUCGUUUGACUGCGUGCCUGUUGAAGAAUGAGCCGGCGACUUAUAGUUAGUGGCAGGUUAAGGUAGAGAAUACUGGAGCCACAGUGAAAGCGAGCUUUAAUAGAGCGUGUGUCACUAGUUAUAGACCCGAACCCGGAUGAUCUAACCAUGGCCAGGAUGAAGCCUAGGUAAUACUAUGUGGAGGUCCGAACCGACUGAUGUUGAAAAAUCAGCGGAUGAGUUGUGGUUAGGGGUGAAAUACCAAUCGAAUUCGGAGCUAGCUGGUUCUCCCCGAAAUGUGUUUAGGCGCAGCGGUUAAUAUUAUAGCUUAGAGGUAAAGCACUGUUUCGGUGCGGGCUGGUAAUUCGGUACCAAAUCGAGGCAAACUCUGAAUACUAAGUGAACAGUUAACCAGUAAGACUGUGGGGGAUAAGCUUCAUAGUCAAGAGGGAAACAGCCCAGAUCACCAGUUAAGGCCCCUAAAUAAUUAUUAAGUGGUAAAGGAGGUGGGAAGACUCAGACAGCCAGGAGGUUUGCUUAGAAGCAGCAAUCCUUUAAAGAGUGCGUAAUAGCUC
RNAcentral lists this ribosomal RNA (622 nucleotides) under Prymnesium parvum. Its description in RNAcentral is "partial Bacterial large subunit ribosomal RNA". It matches the Rfam family "Bacterial large subunit ribosomal RNA", at positions 519 to 1143 of the family's 2925-position model. Lineage: Eukaryota; Haptophyta; Prymnesiales; Prymnesiaceae. The record is from RNAcentral.